This is a long non-coding RNA of Bos indicus x Bos taurus (hybrid cattle), 973 nucleotides long. The record is from Ensembl. Lineage: Eukaryota; Metazoa; Chordata; Mammalia; Artiodactyla; Bovidae.
GCCAGUUCUUGGUUGUGUUUGUGUCCUGGAAGGCAGGGGCUGAGCCCACCUCAGGGCCACCAUACUGCAGUCCCCCAUGACUCAGAGUUGAGUUAGGAGGUGAAGAGAAGAGCAGGAGACUGGAGCUUUGGGGUAAAGGUUUGGGGGUGGGGCUUGUGUAUCCUAGGAGCUAGUGGGAAGACUGAGUCAGUGGUAGGGGUUGGUCUGUCCACUUGGAGUUUGGAGGUCUGGCUCUCCUGUUGGUCACUGUCCAGGUGGCGACCUUGGAAUCAAUCCAGAAAGGCAACUUGGUCUCCCAGCCUGCCCAGGAAGUCUUCCUUCAGGCCAGCCAGCUUUUCUAGAAGGUUCUCCAGGGAGUCAGUCCCAGGGCUCUGCCUCUGGAGUCUCUGCGCUUCCCUCACUUGCCUCUAGAUGGAAGAUUUCCUCACCUGGUGCCCAACAGGCUCCCCCUGCGGCCACAUCCAGCAAACCUGUGGAUGCUAGAAUUCUCAGAACCAAAUGCAGCCCUUAUCUUCUGCCGCAAAGCGUGACAGGCUUGUGUGUGGCUGGUGAGUGGACACAGCCAGGUCCGGCUGGCUCAGACGAGGGGGCAACCCAUCAGUCCCUUGGUGGUGGUGGUGCGCCUCCUUUCACCCCCUGGCAUGUCCACUCAAGCAGAGGCACCUCGAGCUCAGGUCAUUCACAUAUUCAUUCAUUUCUGCAGUUAUCAAGCAUCAUUUGCUAUGUCCGUUUUUGGGGACAGAGAGGAGGACACAGGGUCCCUGCCUGAGUCUAGAGGAGGAGACAGGAAAUAGAUGUGACCAUGCAGGGUGGUAAGUACUCCGAGGAGAAUUGUUUUCUUCCUCUGAGCCCUACUUUUCUGUCUGGCUUCUCUGACAGAGUCAGUGGCAUCAUUACCACCCAUCUGCUCAACCCGAAAAUGCAGAGUCAUCUCCAUGCCUCCCCCACUCAGCCCCAUCUCCUUUUCAGCCAC